Molecule: long non-coding RNA, 764 nt
Filed under: Heterocephalus glaber (naked mole-rat)
Lineage: Eukaryota; Metazoa; Chordata; Mammalia; Rodentia; Bathyergidae
Description: lncRNA (ENSHGLG00100032667.2)
Source: RNAcentral
GGCCAGUCACACGAUCAUCCUGCCCUCCUCCUCCCACUCCUGCACUGAGGGGCUGCUUGAAAAGGAACACAGAAGAAACUGUGGCAGAGAAAUUGCCUUUCUCCUAAGACAGACAGAGACCAACAAGAAGCCAAAAGCUCUGCAAAAAAAGGGACCCCUCAUCUUCAGCCUCUUGCCAUCCCCCUUGCAUGAAUGAAUCUUGUCCAAGAACUGGGAGAAACUUCAGAGGGGAAGCUCGCAUGUUGUUGGAGUUCAUCUAAAAACAACCAAACAAUCAAAAAUACUGCAAGCGGGGAUUCCCCAUCCAUGGGAAAAAGAAUAUUAAAGUUCACUUCAACUGUGGGCCAAAGACAGGAUUUAAGCACCUGGUUAUUCUUUUAUUCACUCCCUUAUGAAUCAUGAUGUGAUAGCCAACCUGUCUCCAUUUUGUGCCUCAUCACCAUUCCCCCUCCCCCCUUGGGAGUCCUCUCUGUUGAUGCUUGACAGACCACUGCACCCCAUUUGGUAGAGCAGUCUGCAGCUAUAUGUUAUCUUUAUGACCUUGUGAAGAGAAUACUCUGCACCUAUGUGAUAUUUUGUUUCAACUAAAUUCUGUGAAACUUCCCCUGACCCUCACUAAUUUAGCAAAGCUCUGCUUCUGUAAAAUUCUGCUUGUGUUCCCCCUCUCCCAGAGCCGUCCCCAACUAGAAGAGCCACUAAAAAAGAAACCUGCAAGCUGCUUUUCGGGGUCAAGAGAUUCUGAGUGCUAGCUCCUCUCAACCGCC